GUGACCUCAAAUCAGGUAGGACUACCCGCUGAACUUAAGCAUAUCAAUAAGCGGAGGAAAAGAAACUAACAAGGAUUCCCCUAGUAACUGCGAGUGAAGCGGGAAAAGCUCAAAUUUAAAAUCUGGCGGCCUUUUUGCUGUCCGAGUUGUAAUCUAGAGAAGUGUUAUCCGCGCUGGACCGUGUACAAGUCUCCUGGAAUGGAGCAUCAUAGAGGGUGAGAAUCCCGUCUUUGACAUGGACUACCAGGGCUUUGUGAUGCGCUCUCAAAGAGUCGAGUUGUUUGGGAAUGCAGCUCAAAAUGGGUGGUAAAUUCCAUGCUAAAUAUUGGCGAGAGACCGAUAGCGAACAAGU
This 352-nucleotide ribosomal RNA is filed under the name uncultured Cortinarius. RNAcentral describes it as "eukaryotic LSU rRNA". It matches the Rfam family "Eukaryotic large subunit ribosomal RNA", at positions 1 to 349 of the family's 3401-position model. Lineage: Eukaryota; Fungi; Basidiomycota; Agaricomycetes; Agaricales; Cortinariaceae. The record is from RNAcentral.